This 4123-nucleotide long non-coding RNA is filed under the name Sus scrofa (pig). Its description in RNAcentral is "lncRNA (ENSSSCG00050005649.1, ENSSSCG00060052920.1)". Lineage: Eukaryota; Metazoa; Chordata; Mammalia; Artiodactyla; Suidae. The record is from RNAcentral.
AACUCCUCCACUGGAUCCUUCCAGGAGGCAUUACGUGAAACCCCACACAACAACUCAUUCUAGUUGUAUGUCACAAUUUAUUCUGUAGAUGCUUUUCCCACUAACUUGGUAAAAUUGCCAAAACCAAUCAGGCUGAUCCACGUGUUCAAGCAUCAGACAUUUAACACUACCUAAAUUAAUCCUCAAAACUGUCAUAAGAGAAAUGAUGAACAUAUCCACUUAAUGGUCAUCUGUCUUCUUCUGAGGGACAGUGCAUUCACCGAUAACGGGAUGUGUCAGCUAUAAUGGUUCUGAGGCAAUGCAAAGAUCAGAAAGAAGCAAGAGGACCGACUACACUCCUACGACAUGUCUGUAUCAGUAACUGAGGAUAAUAUUAUUCACCUCAUGUGACUUUUGUGAGGAUUAAAUAAUUCAAUAAACAUAACGUGCUUAGACUAGCUCCUGGUGGGUCCUAAAGCAUUUAAUAAAUGUUAGUCAUCAUGAGAUGAUGAUCAUGAGAUGGCACUGAUGAUGAUGACAAUAAUGAUGGUGCUGAAAGAAACUGCUAAUAGGAAACACACCUAACACCAUGCCACAGACCAAUAAAUGCAAUUUGAAGAGGACAGCUAGAAUAUCCCAAUAUUCCUCUGCUUUUACUAAUUGCACAUGUAGGAGAAAAUGGGAAAUACCAUAAUAUGGAUGGCACAUAUUUAUUUCAUAAAAAUAAGACAUGAGCUACAGAAGCAAAAAUUAAUGAUAGUUAAAGAAGAACAGAAAGGCCAUAAGGGGUGAAACCCACACUAGAACUAUGGAAUUGUCAACUUCAGGUCAGGAGAUAUCAAAAUAAUAUCAUAGAACAAAGUUAAUAUGCAUGAAGCACCUGUAACGUAUCAGGCACUGUUCUAUAUUCUUUAAAAUAGAUCACUUACUUAAUCCACACAAAAAUCCUGUGCAGUAAGACUAUUAUCCUCUUCUGAAACUAGGGCACUGAAAUAUUAAAAAUUUGCUCAAGGUCUCAUAGCUAAUAAGGGGUGAAAUCAGGAUUUUAUACCUUCAGUUUGUCUUUGCUCUUAACUACUGUACGACAAUGCCUCUCAGUAUAUGAAAGAAAAGAUCUUUUGAGAACUCUAGCAUUUAAUAGAAAAGCUAAGACAAAUUAUGGGUGGAGAUAUGAAAAGAUUCCUAAACAAAAUACCAACAUAAAACUUCAGCAUUUCUAAGAAUAUUAAGUUAAUCAUCAGAGGAGAUUAUUAUGCAAUAUUUAAAGAAAGCAAAUUCUGGUGCACUGAAGGCCCUCUUCAAUGGAACGUAACUGUCAUGGAAGUUAAGCAAGUCAAAAAAGCAGAGCCCAUCCCGCUUUGUCAUAAAUAAUGGCAUGUGACAGGAAAGCCUUAAGAUUCUGUUUAGAAUACAAAAUAUCCUAUACAGAUAAUCUAUCGAUCCAAACACUAUUAAUUUUCUCCAGCAUAUUUUUCAAUCAUAAAGACAUUGCUAUUGUGUUUCCCAGGUAAUCUCCUUUUGCUCCAAAUUAUUUUUUAAAAUAAAAGAAAAAUGGAAGAAAGGAGGAAAAGGGGGAGCAAGGGAAAACUAAAUUGGUUAAAAUACAUUGAAAAGAAGUGAAGGUUACAAUAUAUUGAAAAGAGGUGAAAGCACUAAACCCAGUCUCAAGGCUGUUAUGACACUUUUCCAUCAAUGCAACCUAGUGUCUGUUUAUUUUAAGUAAUUACAGCCCUGUGUUCUUGACAUAUGCUCAACCAAUGUCCCACGGAGAUCACAGCACUUCUUCUGCUAUGUUAUACACUGCAUACUCAAUCAUUUUCUAUCGCUGGGCAUUGUUUGGAACUCAACAAGAAAAGCAGUAUUUUGGCCAACUCCUUACUAAGCAUUAUUCUGUAAUUGACAAUUUAUUGUUUGGGUUACAUUUUUAUUUAGCUAACAAUGCCUGUAGCAUGGCUGAGGACCAGACACUGUUUAAUCAUUUUACAAACAAUAACUCAUAUAAUCUUUAUAGCAACUUUAAAAACUAAAGAUUAUCAUUAUCGAUUAUACAAGAGGAAUCCUUUUUAAGCACAGAGAGACUGAAUAAUUUGCCCAAGGCCACACAGCUAAAUGGUAUAACCAGAGUUUGAACCCAAGCUCUGGAGUCUAUGCCUUUAAACAGUACCUGCUGCUGCUUCUUGAAGAGAACAAAUGGGUUAAUAUAUAUAAAUUCGAUAGACUAAUGCCUGGCACACCAUAAGGGCUGAAUAAAUGUCAGUUCUUUAUUGUUUUGGGGAUGAUAUUGUUGGUAUCAUGCAUGACCAUAUUAGGUGAUAAUUCUGGUAGGAUUUAUUUGAAAUGUCCACACGGGCCAAAACUAUUACCAAUCUUUUACAUAUUCGUAGAAAAGUAUAGUUUCCCAGGCCAUUAACUGGGAUAUAUUUCAGAAGAGAAGAAAAGCCUCAUAAUAUCAAGUUACAUUGAGACUUCGACUUCAGAUGGAUCUACUUACUCUGUCACUCUGGCAUAGAAGGAAAUUAGAUUAAUCCAACAAGAGUGUUCCUCAUGGAGUCACAUUGAUUUUUGCCUGCCUUAGAUGUUCUUCCAUGUGCUUACAAAAUUGAUCUAGUCUGGGAGAGUAGAAAAUCUACAUUUUUGGAGUUUGCCCUUUUUUUGUUUGCUUGUUCUUCAAAUGGCUUUGUUGCACUUACCUAUUCCUCAGCAUACAUUCCAUAAGCAUAGUCAGAGGACAAUCCAAUUCGCCAUAAAACACAUUUUUUUUUUUCCUGUGUGAUUUAACACAUAGGUAGCUCUUCAUUAUGGAAGAUACCUUCCCAGUGAUUAUUUGUAUUUUCUUAUUCUUCUUGAUAACAAUGGGUUUGGUAUAAAUCAGUGGUCAUCUAAACACAUGACAACCUGCAAAUUAAAUAGCCAUUGAUAAUAUUCUAAAAGUUAUUAGUGUAGCAUUUUUGAUAUCAUCAGAUUUUCAUUUUCUGUGAAGACAUUAAUGUUUCAUAGUUUAGUUAAUUUGCUGUUUGAGCUUUAAGGUCAUUUAUAGUCUUACGGUUAUUAUAUAAAAAUAUAACUCUUAAAAAACUCCAAAUGCCACAUGAUCCUACACAGCUAGUAAGGUCUAAAAAUUGCUGACUUGGAAAUGCUUUGAAUUUCUGCAUAAUAUUUGAAAUAGUAUAAGCUAUUAUCUUUUAUGUACAUUUGCUGACAGAAAGAAAUGUGUUUUAAAGGAAGAUGCUACUGCUUCUUCUAUAUUCUGUGCAUCAAACACAAUCUUCUGGCUACUGUGACCAUUCUUUAGGUAUGUUUGUUACUGAUAUGGAAGCAUGUAUACAGAUUAUAUGCCUAUAAAUGCAAAGAACUCUGAGUCACCAGUAAUGUGUAUUCAAAUAUGGAUGGAAUGAACAUGAUAAAUAUGCUAUUUAUUUUUAAGGUAGUUAUUUUCUGAUUCGAACAAUUUUGGCCUCAUUAAUAGCAUCUGAAAUUCUCUCAUGAUUCUUUUUUUUUUUUUCAAAUUUACAAGAGAAAAAUCUCCUAAAGCUCAUUAUAACUAUGAUUAGGUCUACUUUUGAAUUGGAUUUCAUUAAAGCUUAAAAAAAAAUCAGAUGAGAGACAUGAUUACAGCUUCCUUAGAAACACCAGAAAUAGUAGAAACACCUUAGAAUCCAGGACUUUUUGGCAAAGACUCUUAUUAGAGUCCAUCUGCUGUGUACAAUGAUUAAGAGACUACAAACAGAAUAACCACCUUUCAGACAGCAUUGCAUAUAAUUAUAUUUUGAUAAUAAAGAGUUUACAUCUAAACAAUGAAUGCAUAUUACAAGGAAGAAAGGAAGGGCAGGAGGGAAGGGAUAAAGAGAAGUUUAAAAAAAAAGGAAAAAAUGAAGCUUGAACCACCUUCACUUUCAAGUGAUCAACAUAUAUUUUAAUAGCCUCUGAGGGUCUCUGAGUCAAUAAUCUGUUAAACUGUAUUCUUUAAAUCUACUGAAUGGAUCAGCAAACUUCUAAACUGCAUCACAAAUGCAUUUAGUUAUUUACUCAUUCAUUUGUUUAACAAACAUUUACUACGUAAAAUCCUACUCUCCAACGACUGGAGUAGAAGCUGAGGAUUUAACAGUUAGCAAGACAUAAUCCUUGACUUCAAGGAGCUCAGAUG